Molecule: ribosomal RNA, 1387 nt
Filed under: Weissella confusa
Lineage: Bacteria; Bacillati; Bacillota; Bacilli; Lactobacillales; Lactobacillaceae
Description: bacterial SSU rRNA
Rfam family: Bacterial small subunit ribosomal RNA
Source: RNAcentral
AUUUGAAGAGCUUGCUCAGAUAUGACGAUGGACAUUGCAAAGAGUGGCGAACGGGUGAGUAACACGUGGGAAACCUACCUCUUAGCAGGGGAUAACAUUUGGAAACAGAUGCUAAUACCGUAUAACAAUGACAACCGCAUGGUUGUUAUUUAAAAGAUGGUUCUGCUAUCACUAAGAGAUGGUCCCGCGGUGCAUUAGCUAGUUGGUAAGGUAAUGGCUUACCAAGGCGAUGAUGCAUAGCCGAGUUGAGAGACUGAUCGGCCACAAUGGGACUGAGACACGGCCCAUACUCCUACGGGAGGCAGCAGUAGGGAAUCUUCCACAAUGGGCGAAAGCCUGAUGGAGCAACGCCGCGUGUGUGAUGAAGGGUUUCGGCUCGUAAAACACUGUUGUAAGAGAAGAAUGACAUUGAGAGUAACUGUUCAAUGUGUGACGGUAUCUUACCAGAAAGGAACGGCUAAAUACGUGCCAGCAGCCGCGGUAAUACGUAUGUUCCAAGCGUUAUCCGGAUUUAUUGGGCGUAAAGCGAGCGCAGACGGUUAUUUAAGUCUGAAGUGAAAGCCCUCAGCUCAACUGAGGAAUUGCUUUGGAAACUGGAUGACUUGAGUGCAGUAGAGGAAAGUGGAACUCCAUGUGUAGCGGUGAAAUGCGUAGAUAUAUGGAAGAACACCAGUGGCGAAGGCGGCUUUCUGGACUGUAACUGACGUUGAGGCUCGAAAGUGUGGGUAGCAAACAGGAUUAGAUACCCUGGUAGUCCACACCGUAAACGAUGAGUGCUAGGUGUUUGAGGGUUUCCGCCCUUAAGUGCCGCAGCUAACGCAUUAAGCACUCCGCCUGGGGAGUACGACCGCAAGGUUGAAACUCAAAGGAAUUGACGGGGACCCGCACAAGCGGUGGAGCAUGGGUUUAAUUCGAAGCAACGCGAAGAACCUUACCAGGUCUUGACAUCCCUUGACAACUCCAGAGAUGGAGCGUUCCCUUCGGGGACAAGGUGACAGGUGGUGCAUGGUUGUCGUCAGCUCGUGUCGUGAGAUGUUGGGUUAAGUCCCGCAACGAGCGCAACCCUUAUUACUAGUUGCCAGCAUUCAGUUGGGCACUCUAGUGAGACUGCCGGUGACAAACCGGAGGAAGGUGGGGAUGACGUCAAAUCAUCAUGCCCCUUAUGACCUGGGCUACACACGUGCUACAAUGGCGUAUACAACGAGUUGCCAACCCGCGAGGGUGAGCUAAUCUCUUAAAGUACGUCUCAGUUCGGAUUGUAGGCUGCAACUCGCCUACAUGAAGUCGGAAUCGCUAGUAAUCGCGGAUCAGCACGCCGCGGUGAAUACGUUCCCGGGUCUUGUACACACCGCCCGUCACACCAUGAGAGUUUGUAACACCCAAAGCC